Molecule: long non-coding RNA, 5702 nt
Filed under: Solanum tuberosum (potato)
Lineage: Eukaryota; Viridiplantae; Streptophyta; Magnoliopsida; Solanales; Solanaceae
Description: long non-coding RNA (STUB_LNC010370)
Source: RNAcentral
CCUAAACGAUCAAUUGCUUCGUCUUUCUUACUAACAGAUGUACUUAUCACAGUAACUUUGGUUCCAAACGCCUUAGCAAAUUUCACAGCCAUAUGUCCCAAACCACCCAGACCAACAACACCAAUGUGCAUUCCGGGCUUGUCAAGUCCAAAAUAUCUCAAUGGACUAUAAGUUGUGAUCCCUGCACAUAACAGGGGAGCUGCUUCCAUUGGUAAAUUUUCGGGCCAAUGGACCACAUAGUGCUCGUUGGUUACCAUUAUAUCGGAGUAACCACCAUACGUGGGGAUUCCAUCGGUGUAAACACCAUUGUAUGUCAUGAUCUGAUCACGACAGUAAUUUUCAAGAUUGUUGUCACAAUUUUCACAUUUUCUACAUGAUCCUACUAAACAUCCAACUCCAACUUUGUCUCCAAUUUUGAAUUUCUCAACUUUGCUACCAAUUUCAGUUACUACACCAACAACUUCAUGCCUGUAACGUACAACAACAUAUUCAGUAUAAUCUCACAAAUCGAGUCAGAAGAGGAUAAAAUGUAAGCAGAAUUUACCACUACUUAGGAAACCUAAGCUAAUAAUCCGAUUUAGUUAUGGAUUUUAGUUGUUUACCAACAUAUUUCCUCAUGGCAAAGUUUUCUAGUAAACUUCUUGAUGAUCAAAUUUAGAGUUUCAUAGUCCAAACAAUUACCCAAACUAACUACAUGUAUAUUGCAAUGAUUAUAUUGUUCAAAUUCUGGCUUCGCCUCUGUAAUAAGAUACAUAUAUUACAAUUAUAAGAAUACUUUUUUUUGAAAUUUGGUGAAUAAUAAGUCCGUUUAUCUACCAUUUUUCACUUAAAUUAAACUAUACAUAACGGCUUUAGUCUACGAAGGGUUAUAAUAAAAGAACAUAGUAAAAGAUGGAUCAAAAUGAAACUUACCCUGGUACCAUUGGAUAUAUACUAUUGCUCCAUUCAUUCUUGAGUUGAUGAAGAUCAGAAUGACAAAUUCCACAAUACAUAACUUUGAAUUGCACAUCUUUUUCACCAGUCACCCUUCAUCAUUCAACAAGAAAAGUUACAGAUAUAUAUAUACUGUUCGGUCAACUAGUUUAUCAAUAUGUUCGAAAUUAAUAUACACAAUAUAUACACUAUCAGUGUAGAUAUGUUGUGUAUAUCUAAUUCAUAUAAAAUAUACACUAUUUGUACUGUCAGUUUAUAUAACGUAAAUCUGAAAAGAUGGUACCUUCUUGAGAAGUUGAAAGGAGAAAGUACCCCAGAAGUAUCUCUAGCUGCCCAUCCAAAUGCCUUAACAUUUUCAUGUGAUUUUUCCAUUUUCUUGAUUUUUGUUUUUUUUGGAGAUACUAUUAUUAUUAUUAUUAUUAGAACAAUUAAUUUGAGUAAAGUUAUAGUCCAAUGUAUUGAUUUUUUUCAUUUGAAUAUAUAGGUAUUUGAGUUGAUGGCUAAUGACGUAGUCGAUGAGGUAUGAAACAAAUGUUAUCGUCAUGGCUUGUCUGUACAAUUUGCCUUUUUAUUAGUAUAAGAUAAUAUUAUAUCUUAUAUUAUAUGAUGUUUCUAGGAAAAUGGUUCAGUAGUACGUGACCAAGGUCUAGCCGCUAAUUUUAAUCUAAAAAAAUUGUCUUUAUAUUAUUUAAAAACUGUGUAGACUGUAGUGACAUGCUUAGUAGAAAUUGGUUUCAAUGAAAUGUUUUAAUAUGAUUGUAUGGAAUCAUAAAAGAUUUUGAAAAAAUAAAGAAAAAACUCAACUUUAUUUGGUUUGAUUUAUGAAUAUAUAAAACAAAUGCAAUUGGUUUGAUUUGGUAAAUGAUGAAUCCGAAUCAAUUGGUCUAUGUAUAUCCCCUCAACAGAAUCCAGUACUUUUGAUUAUGAAUCAGAUCAUAUAUAUAUGUUCGAAAAUUAACUUUAUAUAUAGAUUAUAUUCAAUUUUUCGUGUGUAUUAGCUUAUGGAUCUAGCGUUUUUGGACACCCAAAUUUAUUUAUCAAGAAAAAUUGUAUGAGAAGCUCCGUAAUGAGUCGGGAAAGCGUUACGUAUAGUCCCGUCGUUUUUUUCACGCAUAUUUUCGCAUUUACGAGUCAACUUUUAGGAAUUACCCGAUUUUCUUGAUUUUUCAUGUGUAUUAGCCCAUGGAUCUGACGCAUUUAGGGCACCAAAAAUUUUUUCCUGAAAAAACUAUAUGAAGACCUCUGUUAUGAGUUGGAGAAGCAUUACGUGUAGUCCCGCCAUUUAUUUCAUGCAUAUUUUCGCAUUUAUGAUCCAACUUUUAGGAAUCAACAAACUUUUUUAGUUUUUCGAGUGUAUUAGUCCAUGGAUCUAGCGCCUUUGGGACAUUCAUAAUUUUUUUCUAAAAAACUAUAUGAGGACCUCCGUAAUGAGUUGGGAAAUCAUUAUGUAUAGUCCCGUCGUUUUUUCACUCAUAUUUUCAGAUUUAGGAGCCAAUUUUUAAAAUUACCCGACUUUCUUGAUUUUUCGUGUGUAUUAACCGAUGGAUCUGUCGCCUUUUGGGCACCCAAAAAUGUUUUCUAAAAAAAUUAUAUGAGGACCUUCGUAAUGAGUUUGGGAAGCAUUGCAUAUAGUCCCACCAAUUUUUUCACGCAUAUAUUUGCAUCUACAAGUCAACUUUUAGGAAUUACCCUAUUUUUUUUAUUUUUCGUGUGUAUUAGCUCAUGGAUCGCGCCUUUGGGCAUCCCGAAUUUUUUUUAUCAAAACUAUAUGAGGACCUCCGUAAUGAAUUGGGAAAGCAUUACAUAUAGUCCCGCCGUUUUUUUCACACACAUUUUUUAAUUUUCGUAUGUAUUAACUCAUGAAUAUAGCGUCUUUGGGCGUCCCAAAAUAUCACGUGGAAUGCUAUAAUUUAAUAAGUGAAAAACACAAUAAUCUGAAAAAGAUUUUGUAGUUAAGGGAGCAUGUACGAUUAAGCUAUCGAAAAUGAUGAUUGCCUCACUUUAAUAUCGUUCCAUAAUAAUUAAUUAGGAUAUAUGGUUGGUGAUUACCUUUCCAGUAUAGCCAUCAGAAAAGAUGGUGAACAAUAAUUUGAAAAAAAUAAUUAUAAAUUGUGUGUGCUUGGUGCGACAGAAAAAUAUUUUCUAAUUUUUUUACGUUUGAUUGGUCGAAUAUUUUUGAAAAAUACUUUUUAUAAAAUCAUUAAAAAUCAGGAGAAUAAAUUUCUGAUACGAUGUAAAAAAUAAAUUUCAUAAGUAACAUUUCAGCUAGAUUAUUUUCUUCCCACCCCACCCAACUCAACCACCAAAUCUCACCCUUGAUCCUACUAUUUUGUUUGCUUUUGAAUAUUCACAAAUUUGCAAAAAGAAUAAGAAUCUAAUAUUUUGAUCAAGUUAAUUUCAAUCAAAAUACUAAAAAGAAAGUCAAAGUUUAGGGGGGUCUAGUCAAAAAAUCGGACAUCAUCCAUUCAAUUAAAAGGAUUAAAUACAAAAUUUAUCUUUAAGUUUACCUUAUUCUGAUCGUUUGGGGACCAUUGCGGAGUCACUACGUGUAAAGGAGAAUAAUAAAUACAACAUCGACCCUACCACUUGAGAACAAUAUUUCAAUUCAUUAUAAUUGGGGAUAAAAGCUGUCGGUUCAUUUUAUUUUUUUUCAAAUAUAACUUAGUAUAAGUCAUUUAUUUGUUUAGAUUGAUGAAGAAGGAAAUAAUAUGGUUAGGUCAAUUCAGAAAAAAAAAAAAAAAAAAAAGCAAAAAAAAAAAAGACAUGACUAUUUGAAAUAUCUAGUUGUUUAAACAAAAAAUAUCCUCUUUAAAUAGUGUUUUUGUUUUCUUUAAAUAGGAAAAUACAUGACUAUUUUGAUUAAUUGAAUGUUAAACGUGCUUUAGUAAAUAUCUCAAGACCGAAAUCAGAAUAUACCUAUAGUUUAUGGACCGAAAAUGCUCUUAUUCCUACUUUAUAAAAGAAUUUAAGUUAUGACAUCAACAAGGAUUGUGAUAGAGUAUUGGUAAGUACUUAUUUAUUUUUAAUCAAAGGUCUCGGAUUCAAGUCUCCGAUCUGAUUACAAAGUAGCCUUUGUUAGAAAGAAUGUUGGAUUUUCCGGCGUGAACGUGGAUUUUCAAACUUGUCUCAUCUCCUUACUCGAGAAAUCUAUGAUAGCUCUGUAAACUAAUAACUUAUAAUAGACGAGCCCAAUAUCUUUAUGUAUGUUCCGAACUUGUUUUUGGUACAAGAGGAGGGGCGAAAAAUUCUAGUUAUAGUUCUUCUUCUGCCUAAUCUUUAGUACCGCUUUGAGAUUUAAUCUUUAGAACCAUGUGCCUAAGAGGGUGAGGGCCUUUAUAGCCAUAAUUCUUCCCCCGGUUCUACGUCAAAACUCAAAAGCAAGUCUUUUUUAUUGCCCCACUUACCUUUUCUAAAAGCACUUCGGGUCGGAGGUUGGUUGUAAAGUAAAGGAUGGUGUGCUUUUGAAUUAGUUUAUUUUGAUAGAAAAACGAACCAGAAUUAAUCCUAGGUCGUAUUGUUUUUCAAUUGUCCGAUGGUUGGGCCCCAAAACAGAUAUCAAAGACUAGAUGGAAAACCAAAAAAAAAAAAGUUAUUUACGAAAUUUUAUUAUCAUGUCAUAUAAAAUAGAACAUAAGAGUAGUAGAAAGAAUGUUUAGUAAUUCCCACACAAACUCACACCAUUCUUUCUUUCUUAAAAUACAAACACACAACAAGAACAACAUGUCCCUAUAUUAACUCUUCUUCAAAGUAUUGCCAAUGUCAAGAACAAAACGAUACUUAACAUCCGAUUUCACGAGACGUUCCACCGCUGUAUUCACGUACUCCAUUGGCACAACUUCAACAUCUGGUGUUAUGUUAUGCUUCUCCGCGAAGUUUACCAUCUCUUGUAUCUCUUUCACCCCUCCUAUCGCGCUCCCUCCCACUAGCUUCCGUCCUGUUUUCCACAUUAUAUACUUGAGUUAUUAACUAAAUCAAACGGACAUGUUAGAACUUAAAUGAAGAAUAAGAUACUACGCGAAAUGUACCUGAAAGCAAUGGAAAUACAGGCAACUCUAGUGGUUUUUCAGGGGCACCAACCAUCACUAGCUUCCCAUUAGUUUUCAACAAAUUAAGCAAUGGAAAAAUAGGAUGAACCGCAGAAACAGUGUCAAUGAUUCCAUCAAGUGAACCCCCUGCAGCCUGCUCGUAUUUACACGUGACGAAAAUUCGUACUUAUGUCACAUGAAUAUCAUUGUAAAUUUGUGAUUGAAGCUAAGUUGAUUGAUCGACUGACCUGCAUUUGUUCAGGAUCACGACUAACCAAAAAUGAGUCUGCUCCUAAACGCUCAAUUGCCUCGUUUUUUUUACUAAGAGAUGUACUAAUGACAGUAACUUUGGUUCCAAACGCCUUGGCGAAUUUCACAGCCAUAUGUCCAAGUCCACCCAAACCAACAACACCAAUGUGCAUUCCAGGUUUAUCUAGUCCGUAAUAUCUCAAAGGGCUAUAAGUUGUGACCCCUGCACAUAACAGGGGAGCUGCACAUAUCAGGCCAACAAACGAUAAAAUGCUCGUUGACAACCAUGAGAUCGGAGUAACCACCGUGAGUGAUGGUUCCAUCAGAGUGAUUACCAUUGGCUGUCAAUACCUGUCCAGGACAGUAAUUCUCAAGGUCGUUGGUACAAUUUUCACAUUCGUUACAUGAUCCUACUAGAUAUCCAACGCCUAUUUUGUCUCCAAUUUUGAACUUGUCUACCUUGUUACCAACCUCAGUUACCACUCCUACAAUUUC